Molecule: transfer RNA, 87 nt
Filed under: Kiritimatiellales bacterium
Lineage: Bacteria; Pseudomonadati; Kiritimatiellota; Kiritimatiellia; Kiritimatiellales
Also listed under: 1 other name
Description: tRNA-Leu
Rfam family: tRNA
About the family: Transfer RNA (tRNA) molecules are approximately 80 nucleotides in length. Their secondary structure includes four short double-helical elements and three loops (D, anti-codon, and T loops).
Source: RNAcentral
GCCCGGGUGGCGAAAUCGGUAGACGCAAGGGACUUAAAAUCCCUUUUCAGCAAUGAAGUGCGGGUUCGAGUCCCGCCCCGGGCACCA